CACGUAGGGGGCAAGCGUUGUCCGGAUUUAUUGGGCGUAAAGAGCUCGUAGGCGGCUCAGUAAGUCGGGUGUGAAACCUCCAGGCUCAACCUGGAGACGCCACCCGAUACUGCUGUGGCUUGAGUCCGGUAGGGGAGCGUGGAAUUCCUGGUGUAGCGGUGAAAUGCGUAGAUAUUCGGAAGAACACCAGUGGCGAAGGCGGCUCACUGGCCCGGUACUGACGCUGAGGUGCGAAAGCGUGGGGAGCAAACAGG
Molecule: ribosomal RNA, 254 nt
Filed under: uncultured bacterium
Lineage: Bacteria
Description: partial 16S ribosomal RNA
Rfam family: Bacterial small subunit ribosomal RNA
Source: RNAcentral